GGGAGGUUGGUGGUGGACGAGCCACUCGCCAACCGGGUCAGGUCCGGAAGGAAGCAGCCCUAACGAGCCCGGCACGGGUCAUCGUGCCAGCCUCCCACCUUCU
Molecule: signal recognition particle RNA, 103 nt
Filed under: Rhizobium johnstonii 3841
Lineage: Bacteria; Pseudomonadati; Pseudomonadota; Alphaproteobacteria; Hyphomicrobiales; Rhizobiaceae
Also listed under: 4 other names
Description: Rhizobium leguminosarum bv. viciae 3841 signal recognition particle RNA
Rfam family: Bacterial small signal recognition particle RNA
About the family: The signal recognition particle (SRP) is a universally conserved ribonucleoprotein involved in the co-translational targeting of proteins to membranes.
Source: RNAcentral